UCCCCGAUAGUUUAAUGGUUAGAAUGGGCGCUUGUCGCGUGCCAGAUCGGGGCUCAAUUCCCCGUCGAGGAG
RNAcentral lists this transfer RNA (72 nucleotides) under Henningerozyma blattae CBS 6284. RNAcentral's name for it is "tRNA-Asp (GTC) (tRNA-Asp-GTC-3-1)". It matches the Rfam family "tRNA". Rfam says of the family: Transfer RNA (tRNA) molecules are approximately 80 nucleotides in length. Their secondary structure includes four short double-helical elements and three loops (D, anti-codon, and T loops). The record is from Rfam by way of RNAcentral. Lineage: Eukaryota; Fungi; Ascomycota; Saccharomycetes; Saccharomycetales; Saccharomycetaceae.